This is an RNA transcript of Cryptomeria japonica (Japanese cedar), 1739 nucleotides long. It is a transcript of the gene named beta-carotene 3-hydroxylase 2, chloroplastic, with no coding region annotated. Lineage: Eukaryota; Viridiplantae; Streptophyta; Pinopsida; Cupressales; Cupressaceae. The transcript has 10 exons. The record is from RefSeq and is a predicted model, not a curated record.
UGUCAAAGUUUGUUCCUUGAUGCAGAUGCAUUCUGUUUUCUUCUGCCAGCGCCCGUAAAAUCAUUGCCUACAGUGACAUCUCUUGGAUCUCCAUAGAUUUUCUGCAAACGUGGACAGAUUUACAGCCAUUCCUCAAAUUGCAUGGAAGAGCAAAACGCACGCAGUCUAUUUAGAAAUAGUGUUUCAGUGAACAAUUGGAGAGCAGAGGAUUUGAAGAGCUUGAAAUUUUGAGUCUGUGUUGAAGUGGGCAGCUCAAAUCUGAGAAGAAGAGCAAAAAUGGUGGUGUGCAUUUCAUCUCCCUAUGCAGUGGGUUUGUGCGAUUCGAUCCUCUCACCUGCUGGUGUCAACAGAGCAGUGAGCCCUGCUUCUUUCAAUGCUGCUGCUCGCUUCUCUUCCAAUUUAAUGCUAGGGAGAGAAUCCUCCCGUGUUUGUGCGAGGAGAAAGAAGAUGCUGCCUGGCCUCUGCUUUGUAUUCAAGGAAAAUGAAGGACAAAUUGGAGAACAGUCUCUGGAAUUUGCAGAUUCGUUGAGAAGGGCUGUUGAGAAGGAGGAAAAGGGGCUGUCAAGCAAUGUCAAGGCUAAUUUGGCUGCGCUUGCUUGGAGCCUCGGAAUUACAGGCACUGCUGCAGCAGCCAUUUAUUAUAGAUUUCUCUUCGUAAUGAAGGGUGAGGAGCUUCCUUACACGGAGAUGAUGGGUACAGUUUUAGUUGCAGCUGUAGCAGCGGUUGGAAUGGAGCAUUGGGCUCGCUGGGUUCACCGAACUUUCUGGCAUGGUGCCUUGUGGUCCAUCCAUGAGUCUCAUCACAGGCCCAGAGAUGGACCUUUUGAAAUGAACGACAUAUUUACCAUCCUCAAUUCCAUCCCUGCUAAUGUCUUAUUAACAUAUGGACUCUACUGUAAAGGUCUUGUGCCAAGUCUCUGUUUUGGUGCUGGAAUAGGAAUCACCAUUGGUGGGCUUGCAUAUAUAAUUGUCCAUGAUGGCCUUAUUGAUAGACGUUUUCCUGUUGGGCCACUCGGUGAUAUUCCGUAUCUUCGAAAAGUAGCAGCUGCACAUCAGAUUCAUCAUGCAGAUAAGUUUGAUGGUAUACCAUUUGGUAUCUUACUUGGACCUUCAGAACUGAAAAACCUGGAAGGUGGUCCUGAAGAGCUGGAAAAAUUUGUGAGUAGGAGGAGGAAGGCCUCUAGAAGUUACAUGGAAAGCAAAGAUGUUGCUGUGAAGCAGUAACCUUGACUUCUUUGUCCCUCUAUUGUAAAGUUGGAAUUACACUGCCCUGAAAGCACCUGAAUGUUGCUUACCAUUUGGAGAAGAGAGGGAAUACAGCAUGUCAAUAUUCAAGGUUGGUAACAUGGUUCAUCAGGCCUGAACUGCUCAGAAAUAUAUUCAGUUUUGCUCUCAAGGUAACCUACUUCAGUUCAUUAACCAAUUGAAGCUGAUGGAGACUCGAGCAACAUUAUUCGCAAAGAUUGUGACAGAGUAUCGGGCACACGCAUAGAAAGGGAGCUUCAUCAUCCAACAUCUCUUAGCUGACAUUUCAUUCAAAUAUUUUCAUCAAGUCCUUGUUCCAGCUUUACAAAUUGCAGCAGGAAAUGCAAUGAAUUCAUCUUUCAUGAUCUAAUUUGUACCAAAGAGAAUUUUAACAUUUAAUUAAAAAUUGUACUUGAACAUUAAAUGGAUUCAAUGAGGAAUGUUAUGGAUUUAAUGCCUUUAAUAAUGCAAAAUACAACAUCUGGUUCCGCUUA